UCGUACGAUCGAGGUGCGAGGGCUGUCGCUGACCCUUCAAAGGUCGUGCACGCCCGAGCGCUCUCACACAUCCAUCUCACCCAUUUGUGCAUCACCGCGUGGGCCUCCCCCCUCGUGGGGGAGUGCCUGCGUUUUCACCAUAAAACUUGAUACGGUGUAGAAUGUUUUCAUUUGCGGUCACACGCAAUCAAUA
This 193-nucleotide unclassified non-coding RNA is filed under the name uncultured Russulaceae. Its description in RNAcentral is "sequence contains ITS1". Lineage: Eukaryota; Fungi; Basidiomycota; Agaricomycetes; Russulales; Russulaceae. The record is from RNAcentral.